Molecule: ribosomal RNA, 253 nt
Filed under: uncultured bacterium
Lineage: Bacteria
Description: partial 16S ribosomal RNA
Rfam family: Bacterial small subunit ribosomal RNA
Source: RNAcentral
UACGAAGGGGGCUAGCGUUGCUCGGAAUUACUGGGCGUAAAGCGCGCGUAGGCGGAUUGAUUAGUCAGAGGUGAAAUCCCAGGGCUCAACCCUGGAACUGCCUUUGAUACUGUCAGUCUGGAGCAAGGUAGAGGCGAGUGGAAUUCCGAGUGUAGAGGUGAAAUUCGUAGAUAUUCGGAGGAACACCAGUGGCGAAGGCGACUCGCUGGACCUUUGCUGACGCUGAGGCGCGAAAGCGUGGGGAGCAAACAGG